Non-coding RNA from Acanthosepion pharaonis, 91 nucleotides. The record is from the annotation of a GenBank genome assembly. NCBI's taxonomy places the organism in Eukaryota, Metazoa, Mollusca, Cephalopoda, Sepiida, Sepiidae.
CAUCGGUUCCCGUACGAUCACCGAAGUUAAGCAACGUUAAACCUGGUCAGUACUUAGUUUGGUAACUAUUUGGGAAUACCAGGUGCUGUAA